Molecule: ribosomal RNA, 253 nt
Filed under: uncultured bacterium
Lineage: Bacteria
Description: partial 16S ribosomal RNA
Rfam family: Bacterial small subunit ribosomal RNA
Source: RNAcentral
UACGUAGGGUGCAAGCGUUGUCCGGAAUUAUUGGGCGUAAAGAGCUCGUAGGCGGUUCCGUAAGUCGAGUGUGAAAAAUCUGGGCUCAACCCAGUGGAGCACUCGAUACUGCGGUGACUGGAGUACGGUAGAGGAGUGUGGAAUUCCUGGUGUAGCGGUGAAAUGCGCAGAUAUCAGGAAGAACACCCGUGGCGAAGGCGGCUCUCUGGGACGGUACUGACGCUGAGACGCGAAAGCGUGGGGAGCGAACAGG